GCUAAACUGCGCUGGGUUGGCGUAUCUCGCUGGGUUCAUUUCUUGGGAUGUUGUUAUUGUUUUGUGCGUAUUUGCCGGGCGUCAGUAAUGAAGUUGUGCUGCUGGGCUGUGCUGCUAUGAAGUUGAAGUUGCUAAAUCAUGGUGAUGUAGAAAUCGCGUAGCGCGCAUAUAAUGCAUCUACUGUGAUAUGAAUGCCCCACGUCAAUGUGAAACGCGCAGCGUUCAGGCGCACACAGCACAGGAGCCAGCUUCAAACGAGGACCUGAGCCCUAUAGGACCAUGCCUCAGGACUACCUGACAUGAUGACUCCUUGCUGUCCCCAGUCCACCUGGCCGUGCUGCUGCUCCAGUUUCAACUGUUCUGCCUUAUUAUUAUUGGACCAUGCUGGUCAUUUAUGAAAAUUUGAACAUCUUGGCCAUGUUCUGUUAUAAUCUCCACCCGGCACAGCCAGAAGAGGACUGGCCACCCCACAUAGCCUGGUUCCUCUCUAAAUUUCUUCCUAGGUUUUGGCCUUUCUAGGGAGUUUUUCCUAGCCACCGUGCUUCUACACCUGCAUUGCUUGCUGUUUGGGGUUUUAGGCUGGGUUUCUGUACGGCACUUUGAGAUAUCAGCUGAUGUACGAAGGGCUAUAUAAAUAAAUUUGAUUUGAUGAGCUGAGGAGAGGAAGCC
Oncorhynchus tshawytscha (Chinook salmon) is the source of this 669-nucleotide long non-coding RNA. The record is from Ensembl. NCBI's taxonomy places the organism in Eukaryota, Metazoa, Chordata, Actinopteri, Salmoniformes, Salmonidae.